AGAAUUAAAUAAAAAAGAAUGGUGAUAAAAACAAAGAAACUUUUCUCUUUGUUUUCUCUUAUUGCCGUAACUAAGCAAGAAAGAAAGGAAAGAACACCAAAGGCACUCGGUCACUUGGUGUUGGGAAUUAAGAUUGUGGACUCUGAUUACCAGCUCAGGGAUCGUCAGCACUUCAUCACACUAUCUACUAUUAUGGAAAUCUUGUGAUUUGGAUUUAGCUUAUGGCAUGUAUAGGAUAGAUUAUACUAGAAUUACAUCAUAACUAUUGUUUAUAAGCCAUGCGAAUAUGGCAUCCUUUGGAAGUCUACUUUUAUAAGUUAUAAGUUUGAUCUUUGUUUGUGUUUAGAAAUUUAAUUAAAUGAAUAAUCUUUAUUCACGAAAAAAAAAAUGUUCAAAA
Gossypium arboreum is the source of this 397-nucleotide long non-coding RNA. RefSeq lists it as uncharacterized. The record is from RefSeq and is a predicted model, not a curated record. The transcript is spliced from 2 exons. Lineage: Eukaryota; Viridiplantae; Streptophyta; Magnoliopsida; Malvales; Malvaceae.